RNAcentral lists this ribosomal RNA (844 nucleotides) under uncultured bacterium. RNAcentral describes it as "bacterial SSU rRNA". It matches the Rfam family "Bacterial small subunit ribosomal RNA", at positions 8 to 862 of the family's 1533-position model. The record is from RNAcentral.
AGAGUUUGAUCCUGGCUCAGGAUGAACGCUGGCGGCGUGCCUAACACAUGCAAGUCGAACGAGGUAUUAAGAGCUUGCUUUUGAUACCGAGUGGCGGACGGGUGAGUAAUGUAUGAGCAACCUGCCUUUCAGAGGGGGACAACAGUUGGAAACGACUGCUAAUACCGCAUAAUGUUUUUGAGCGGCAUCGCUUAAAAACCAAAGGAGCAAUCCGCUGAAAGAUGGGCUCAUAUCUGAUUAGUUAGUUGGUGAGGUAACGGCUCACCAAGACUGCGAUCAGUAGCCGGACUGAGAGGUUGAACGGCCACAUUGGGACUGAGAUACGGCCCAGACUCCUACGGGAGGCAGCAGUGGGGAAUAUUGGGCAAUGGGCGAAAGCCUGACCCAGCAACGCCGCGUGAAGGAAGAAGGUCUUCGGAUUGUAAACUUCUUUUAUGAGGGACGAAGGAAGCGACGGUACCUCAUGAAUAAGCCACGGCUAACUACGUGCCAGCAGCCGCGGUAAUACGUAGGUGGCAAGCGUUAUCCGGAUUUACUGGGUGUAAAGGGCGCGUAGGCGGGGAUGCAAGUCAGAUGUGAAAUCUGUGGGCUCAACUCACAAACUGCAUUUGAAACUGUAUCUCUUGAGUGCUGGAGAGGUAGACGGAAUUCCUUGUGUAGCGGUGAAAUGCGUAGAUAUAAGGAAGAACACCAGUGGCGAAGGCGGUCUACUGGACAGUAACUGACGCUGAGGCGCGAAAGCGUGGAGAGCAAACAGGAUUAGAUACCCUGGUAGUCCACGCUGUAAACGAUGAAUACUAGGUGUGGGAGGACUGACCCCUUCCGUGCCGCAAUUAACACAAUA